This 383-nucleotide ribosomal RNA is filed under the name uncultured bacterium. Its description in RNAcentral is "bacterial SSU rRNA". It matches the Rfam family "Bacterial small subunit ribosomal RNA", at positions 419 to 793 of the family's 1533-position model. The record is from RNAcentral.
CGGGUUGUAAAGUACUUUCAGCAGUGAGGAAGGUGGGUAUGUUAAUAGCAUACUCAUUUUGACGUUUAGCUGCAGAAGAAGCACCGGCUAACUCCGUGCCAGCAGCCGCGGUAAUACGGAGGGUGCGAGCGUUAAUCGGAAUUACUGGGCGUAAAGCGCAUGCAGGUGGUUUGUUAAGUCAGAUGUGAAAGCCCGGGGCUCAACCUCGGAAUUGCAUUUGAAACUGGCAAACUAGAGUACUGUAGAGGGGGUAGAAUUUCAGGUGUAGCGGUGAAAUGCGUAGAGAUCUGAAGGAAUACCGGUGGCGAAGGCGGCCCCCUGGACAGAUACUGACACUCAGAUGCGAAAGCGUGGGGAGCAAACAGGAUUAGAUACCCUGGUAG